Molecule: ribosomal RNA, 253 nt
Filed under: uncultured bacterium
Lineage: Bacteria
Description: partial 16S ribosomal RNA
Rfam family: Bacterial small subunit ribosomal RNA
Source: RNAcentral
UACGAGAGGUCCAAACGUUAUUCGGAAUCACUGGGCUUACAGAGUUCGUAGGCGGCUCUACAAGUGAGGUGUGAAAGCCCUCGGCUCAACCGAGGAACUGCGCUUCAAACUGUAAAGCUAGAGGGAGAUAGAGGUGAGCGGAACUGAUGGUGUAGCGGUGAAAUGCGCAGAUAUCAGGAGGAACACCGAUGGCGAAGGCAGGUCUCUGGGCCACUACUGACGCUGAGAAGCGAAAGCAUGGGGAGCGAACAGG